UACGUAGGUGGCAAGCGUUGUCCGGAUUUACUGGGCGUAAAGAGCGCGCAGGCGGUCGUCCAAGUCGCGUGUGAAAGCCCCCCGGCUCAACUGGGGAGGGUCACGCGAUACUGGUCGACUCGAAGGCAGGAGAGGGUAGUGGAAUUCCCGGUGUAGUGGUGAAAUGCGUAGAUAUCGGGAGGAACACCAGUGGCGAAGGCGACUUCCUGGCCUGUUCUUGACGCUGAGGCGCGAAAGCUAGGGGAGCAAACGGG
RNAcentral lists this ribosomal RNA (254 nucleotides) under uncultured bacterium. RNAcentral describes it as "partial 16S ribosomal RNA". It matches the Rfam family "Bacterial small subunit ribosomal RNA", at positions 524 to 776 of the family's 1533-position model. The record is from RNAcentral.